AACGAACGCUGGCGGCAUGCCUAACACAUGCAAGUCGAACGAUCCCUUCGGGGAUAGUGGCGCACGGGUGCGUAACGCGUGGGAACCUGCCCUUAGGUUCGGAAUAACUCAGAGAAAUUUGAGCUAAUACCGGAUAAUGUCUUCGGACCAAAGAUUUAUCGCCUUUGGAUGGGCCCGCGUUGGAUUAGCUUGUUGGUGGGGUAAAGGCCUACCAAGGCGACGAUCCAUAGCUGGUCUGAGAGGAUGAUCAGCCACACUGGGACUGAGACACGGCCCAGACUCCUACGGGAGGCAGCAGUGGGGAAUAUUGGACAAUGGGCGAAAGCCUGAUCCAGCAAUGCCGCGUGAGUGAUGAAGGCCUUAGGGUUGUAAAGCUCUUUUACCCGGGAUGAUAAUGACAGUACCGGGAGAAUAAGCCCCGGCUAACUCCGUG
Molecule: ribosomal RNA, 433 nt
Filed under: uncultured bacterium
Lineage: Bacteria
Description: partial 16S ribosomal RNA
Rfam family: Bacterial small subunit ribosomal RNA
Source: RNAcentral